GUACCCGAUUACGGAGCGCUGCUUGGCUUCCCUAGCAUGCAGAUGUGUCGGGGCUGCAUGUGCACACAGGUUAUCUGACAGGCAGUAAUUCAGGGUAGCCGAUCUCGUUCAGCUUCAGGCAUUGUUAAAACCAUGUUACAGUAGCCAGAGAGGCAGUGCCUCAGGUGUGUUAUGCAGCAGGACAAUAGGGGGGUGUUACUUCCUGAUAAAGCAAAUCUUACUGAGACCACGUGGGAUUGCUUUCCUUCCCUCACCUGUUGGCGUCAAGCAUGACAAAUAAAAUUGUACUGUGAAUGCCACUGUCUCAGUAGUUGUCAGCAAUUAUAUGGUAACAGCUAUAUUUAUAUGGUGAAUUUUGGGGCAUAUUCCAAAAGGAAGCAAUUUUACUCAUAGCUCACAGUCCCAGACCUUGAAGAUAAGGUGAAGGUUUUACUGUCUCUUACAAUCUCUUAACAUGUAACACAACCAGCAAACUAGAAGUAAUUAAACUUCUAGUAGCUGCUUGUACGCCCUACUGCAGUUAUCACCAAGAAAGCUCUCAUUUCUCAGUGAUCCUGUGGAAGGAUACAGUCUUCCCUGUGGUGUAGAAACCUUUGCACAUGUGCCUCCGCUUCCUUGAGCUCCUGUUACUAUGGUCUUGCCAGAAGAAUUCACCUCAAGCCCUUCCUGAAAGCUUCAGAUACAAAGCCACGCAGCUCUGCCUGGGAAGCACGUGACAGAAAUCAGACUUUGCUGCUUUGAUUUGCCCCAGUUAAUAAUUUCUAGGUGUUGUCUUGUCUGUCAUAUAUAAAAUUACAUAAGUUGUCCAAGACUUUGCUUUUGCAAGCAGCACUGCUUCCUGUGACUAAUGAGGAUAGGCAGACUUGUCAAAACUUGACUUAAGAGGUGCGAGCUUUCAGGAUUGUUUUCAGUUGCGCUGUCUGAACUGUCUCCAGCAGAGCCAAAUCUGGGCCUCAGUAAAAGAAAUGGCUCCUGUCCCGCUUUGACCCUGGGGAGAGAUGAGGCCUGUGAGUUGUGCCACUGAGCAA
Molecule: long non-coding RNA, 1028 nt
Organism: Tympanuchus pallidicinctus (lesser prairie-chicken)
Lineage: Eukaryota; Metazoa; Chordata; Aves; Galliformes; Phasianidae
Exons: 2
Source: RefSeq, a predicted model, not a curated record